This 65-nucleotide transfer RNA is filed under the name Syrmaticus humiae (Hume's pheasant). RNAcentral's name for it is "tRNA-Ser". Lineage: Eukaryota; Metazoa; Chordata; Aves; Galliformes; Phasianidae. The record is from RNAcentral.
AGGGGCGGCCAAAGUCAGCAAGAACUGCUAAUUCCUGCCUCCGAGCCUUAAAUCUCGGCCCCCUU